RNAcentral lists this ribosomal RNA (468 nucleotides) under uncultured bacterium. Its description in RNAcentral is "partial 16S ribosomal RNA". It matches the Rfam family "Bacterial small subunit ribosomal RNA", at positions 28 to 507 of the family's 1533-position model. The record is from RNAcentral.
GACGAACGCUGGCGGCGUGCUUAACACAUGCAAGUCGAACGGAAAGGCCCUGCUUUUGUGGGGUGCUCGAGUGGCGAACGGGUGAGUAACGCGUGAGUAACCUGCCCUUGACUUUGGGAUAACUUCAGGAAACUGGGGCUAAUACCGGAUAGGAGCUCCUGCUGCAUGGUGGGGGUUGGAAAGUUUCGGCGGUUGGGGAUGGACUCGCGGCUUAUCAGCUUGUUGGUGGGGUAGUGGCUUACCAAGGCUUUGACGGGUAGCCGGCCUGAGAGGGUGACCGGCCACAUUGGGACUGAGAUACGGCCCAGACUCCUACGGGAGGCAGAAGUGGGGAAUAUUGCACGAUGGGCGGAAGCCUGAUGCAGCAACGCCGCGUGCGGGAUGACGGCCUUCGGGUUGUAAACCGCUUUCGCCUGUGACGAAGCGUGAGUGACGGUAAUGGGUAAAGAAGCACCGGCUAACUACGUG